UAGUUUUCUGGGCCUUUCCAACUCUGAGU
RNAcentral lists this non-coding RNA (29 nucleotides) under Homo sapiens (human). The record is from RNAcentral. Lineage: Eukaryota; Metazoa; Chordata; Mammalia; Primates; Hominidae.